Molecule: long non-coding RNA, 228 nt
Filed under: Elaeis guineensis (African oil palm)
Lineage: Eukaryota; Viridiplantae; Streptophyta; Magnoliopsida; Arecales; Arecaceae
Description: long non-coding RNA (EGUI_LNC001291)
Source: RNAcentral
CCACCGAAUCCACUACUACACCCCUGUGACUCUUGAGAAGCAAAUCAUUUUUGUGGAGUAUAUGCUAUGAAAGGCAAAUCUUUCUUACAUAAUAGCUCAUCAAAGUUAUGAAACUCCUUGCCCACAUGUUUGUCUUCUUCCUAAACAUCUAGAAUAGGAGGUACAAAUGGUGGGGAUUUUGGAGAAGGUAGUGGUGAAUGAAAAUGAUAAAAAAUUAGAAGUAAAAAU